CCUGUACAGUGUUGACACAGGACGCAGCCGUGAGAACCACGUGGCUGGCCGUUAUGCAGAUGAGCGCGCAUCUUUAACAAGAAGAAUGUCCAUGAUGGGUUCAGAAAGGAUUGCUAGAUAGAAAGGUCGAAAAGUCCUGGUCAUGGUGUCUGCAGCUGUGUAUUUCUGAAGGCUCUCAGAGGAAACCGGAGGGACAUGACACACUGGUUGUAGGGAAUGAGUUGUGGGAGGAAAGUGAAAAAGGGAAGAUGAGCAGCAGAAAGAUGGUGCACUGGGUACAACGGAUGGAGCCACUGCCCUCUUUCUAGCCACUCAAGGAGGUUACUUGGAUGUCAUCCGAUUAUUGUUGUCUUCAGGAGCAAAAGUCAACCAACCAAAGCAGGUAAUGUGCUUCGAUGAACUCUGAUCAAAUAGGGGGUAUGAGGCAGGUAGGGCUGGGUGGCUCCUAGCAGCACAUACCUGAGAUAACCAGCAGCUCCAGGCCUCCUCAAACCCUUUUGCCUCCGCCAUGAAAAGCUAAUCUUUGAAAGGU
Heterocephalus glaber (naked mole-rat) is the source of this 532-nucleotide long non-coding RNA. The record is from Ensembl. NCBI's taxonomy places the organism in Eukaryota, Metazoa, Chordata, Mammalia, Rodentia, Bathyergidae.